RNAcentral lists this ribosomal RNA (253 nucleotides) under uncultured bacterium. RNAcentral's name for it is "partial 16S ribosomal RNA". It matches the Rfam family "Bacterial small subunit ribosomal RNA", at positions 524 to 776 of the family's 1533-position model. The record is from RNAcentral.
GACAGAGGGUGCGAACGUUGCUCGGAAUUACUGGGCGUAAAGCGCGUGUAGGCGGGUGAUCAAGUCAGGUGUGAAAUCCCCAGGCUCAACCUGGGAACUGCACUUGAAACUGGUCGCCUUGAGUGUUGGAGAGGGAAGCGGAAUUCCUGGUGUAGAGGUGAAAUUCGUAGAUAUCAGGAGGAACACCGGUGGCGAAGGCGGGUCUCUGGGCCGAUACUGACGCUGAGGAGCGAAAGCGUGGGGAGCGAACAGG